RNAcentral lists this ribosomal RNA (105 nucleotides) under uncultured bacterium. RNAcentral's name for it is "partial 16S ribosomal RNA". It matches the Rfam family "Bacterial small subunit ribosomal RNA", at positions 1378 to 1482 of the family's 1533-position model. The record is from RNAcentral.
CCGUUGCACACACCGCCCGUCACGCCACGAAAGUCGGUCUUACCCGAAGCCGGUGCGCUAACCGCAAGGAAGCAGCUGUCGAAGGUAGGGCUGGUAAUUGGGACG